UAAUACGGAGGGUGCAAGCGUUAUCCGGAUUCACUGGGUUUAAAGGGUGCGUAGGUGGGAAUGUAAGUCAGUGGUGAAAUCUCCGUGCUUAACAUGGAAACUGCCAUUGAUACUAUGUUUCUUGAAUUUUCUGGAGGUAAGCGGAAUAUGUCAUGUAGCGGUGAAAUGCUUAGAUAUGACAUAGAACACCAAUUGCGAAGGCAGCUUGCUACAGGGAUAUUGACACUGAGGCACGAAAGCGUGGGGAUCAAACAGGAUUAGAUACCCUGGUAGUCCACGCCCUAAACGAUGGAUACUCGACAUUUGUGAUACACAAUAAGUGUCUGAGCGAAAGCAUUAAGUAUCCCACCUGGGAAGUACGACCGCAAGGUUG
RNAcentral lists this ribosomal RNA (373 nucleotides) under uncultured bacterium. Its description in RNAcentral is "bacterial SSU rRNA". It matches the Rfam family "Bacterial small subunit ribosomal RNA", at positions 521 to 896 of the family's 1533-position model. The record is from RNAcentral.